Molecule: long non-coding RNA, 1488 nt
Filed under: Homo sapiens (human)
Lineage: Eukaryota; Metazoa; Chordata; Mammalia; Primates; Hominidae
Description: HSALNT0097087
Source: RNAcentral
GUUCUUAAUUUCAAAGAUGAGGAAACUGAAAAUUGACAAGACUUCCUCAUCUUAUGACUAUUCGUCUUCCACCGUAAGAGCUACAGUGCUGUGACAGAGGCAUGUGACCUAGCCGCAGCCUGGACCGCAACAAUUAUACAAACUCCCAAUAUCCUUUUAACAAAUUCAUUGUCUGUUUAAUCAGCCAAAGUCUUCUUUUGUUGUUUGUAACCAAGAACACUGAGUAGUACAAACAAUAUCCAACGUGCUAGUGAAGACUUUGAAGGACGCCAUGACACUUCACAAGGAACCCGAUUUACUGCAACCCAUGGCUCAGAUUCUCCGAGAAUGGACUACAACUUUGCUUGUCCUAAUGGAUUUCUGCCACUCAUCCAGGGAUUUUCCUUUGAAAUAAUUUAACUAUGCUUUUGGAAAUUGCCAGUUUAAUUCCUACUUUAUUUUUGUUUUGAUAUCAAGUCACUUUUCCCCAUUUACAUGACUAAGUGUUCAAUGAGUUAUAAACAAAAUAAAAAUUGAUGUCAAUUUUGAUACAUUUGCAUAAGAAAUUAGUGUAAUGGUUUUAAAUUGCAUUCCAGUGAAAUAAAUUCAUAGUCACGGUAAUUCAGAAAAAAAUCUGCAUAUUUUUUCUUUAAUGAAAUAUGGAAUUUUUCACUUAGAAGAUUAAAAUUCAACUCCUUAUGCUCUUAGGCAAGCCUCGAAAGUAGUUUGGAACAAGAGCAACAGAAACAACAAGAAAAAGUCAAAGUAUAAACAUAUCCUUAGCCUAAAUGAUUUAUUUGGGGCUGGACACAGUGACUCACGCUUAUAAUCCCACACUUUGGGAGGCUGAGGCAGGAGGGUUGCUUGAGCCCAGGAGUUCAAGACCAGCCUGGGCCUCAUAGUGACACCUCAUAACGAGUCCUCAUCUCUACAUCUACCCCCUUUCUCCAAAAAAAUUUUAAAAACACCUGGGCAUGGUGGUACGCACCUGUGGUUCCAGCUACUCAAGAGACUGAGAUGGGAAGAUUGCUUGAGCCCAGGAAUUUGAGAUUUCAGUGACCUAUGAUUCCAACACUACACUUCAGCUUGGACAAUAAAGUGAGACUCCCUCUCUUAAAAAAAAAAGGUCCUUUAAACCAUGACAUCUUGGUGAAUCAUGAUUCUUCCCCAAUAUCUUCAAAGGAAACUUUCACCAGAAAUACUAUUUAAUUUGUACCAAUUUUAAAUUCAUAGAAUACAGAUAGUACACUAGGGAAAUUAUAGUUAACAAUAAUUUGUUUAUUUCAAAAUAGCUAGAAAAGAAGAAUUUUAAUGUUUCCAACACAAAGAAAAGGCAACUGUUUUAGUUGAUGGAUGUCCCAAUUACUCUGAUUUGAUCAUUUCACAUUGUAUCUAGGUAUCAAAAUAUUACAUAUACCCCCAAAUAUGUAUGACCAUUAUAUAGCAAUAAAAACAUGUAUACUUUUAUAGAAUACAUAUUCUGGAACUUUCUUUGUAAGCUGUGACUAG